RNAcentral lists this ribosomal RNA (749 nucleotides) under uncultured bacterium. RNAcentral describes it as "bacterial SSU rRNA". It matches the Rfam family "Bacterial small subunit ribosomal RNA", at positions 59 to 823 of the family's 1533-position model. The record is from RNAcentral.
CAGUCGAACGGACGAUGAAGAGCUUGCUUUUCAGAGUUAGUGGCGGACGGGUGAGUAACGCGUGGGUAACCUGCCUCAUACAGGGGGAUAGCAGCUGGAAACGGCUGAUAAAACCGCAUAAGCGCACAGCAUCGCAUGAUGCAGUGUGAAAAACUCCGGUGGUAUGAGAUGGACCCGCGUCUGAUUAGCUGGUUGGUGAGGUAACGGCCCACCAAGGCGACGAUCAGUAGCCGGCCUGAGAGGGUGACCGGCCACAUUGGGACUGAGACACGGCCCAAACUCCUACGGGAGGCAGCAGUGGGGAAUAUUGCACAAUGGGGGAAACCCUGAUGCAGCGACGCCGCGUGAAGGAAGAAGUAUCUCGGUAUGUAAACUUCUAUCAGCAGGGAAGAUAAUGACGGUACCUGACUAAGAAGCCCCGGCUAACUACGUGCCAGCAGCCGCGGUAAUACGUAGGGGGCAAGCGUUAUCCGGAUUUACUGGGUGUAAAGGGAGCGUAGGCGGCGGAGCAAGUCAGAAGUGAAAGCCCGGGGCUCAACCCCGGGACGGCUUUUGAAACUGCCCUGCUUGAUUUCAGGAGAGGUAAGCGGAAUUCCUAGUGUAGCGGUGAAAUGCGUAGAUAUUAGGAGGAACACCAGUGGCGAAGGCGGCUUACUGGACGGUAACUGACGUUGAGGCUCGAAAGCGUGGGGAGCAAACAGGAUUAGAUACCCUGGUAGUCCACGCCGUANACGAUGAAUACUAGGUGU